ACCGCAGACCGCCUUAUCGCUGUCAGGUCCUUUGGGACAAGAGAGAGGAAAGUCCGGACACCAUAGAGAAGCAUAGCGGGUAACACCCGUCAUCUCGUCUUUUGGGACGAGAUAGGACAAGUGCAACAGAAAGUAUGUACAGGUAAUGCUGUAGUGAAACCAGGUAAACUCUAUGCGGUGAAAUAUCAAGUAUAUCAGCAUUUAAGGGUUUCUCGUCCGUUGCUGAAGGGUAGAUAGCUCGAGUCUUGGAGUAAUUCAAGAUCUAGAUAAAUGAUAAGGUAUUGUCUCGUUGCAAAACGAGACAAGAACAGAAUCCGGCUUACAGGUCUGCAUUUUUU
This 338-nucleotide RNase P RNA is filed under the name Flavobacterium gilvum. RNAcentral describes it as "RNase P RNA component class A". It matches the Rfam family "Bacterial RNase P class A". Rfam says of the family: Ribonuclease P (RNase P) is a ubiquitous endoribonuclease, found in archaea, bacteria and eukarya as well as chloroplasts and mitochondria. Its best characterised activity is the generation of mature 5'-ends of tRNAs by cleaving the 5'-leader elements of precursor-tRNAs. Lineage: Bacteria; Pseudomonadati; Bacteroidota; Flavobacteriia; Flavobacteriales; Flavobacteriaceae. The record is from RNAcentral.